This 340-nucleotide ribosomal RNA is filed under the name Pachyornis geranoides (stout-legged moa). RNAcentral's name for it is "partial 12S ribosomal RNA". It matches the Rfam family "Bacterial small subunit ribosomal RNA", at positions 345 to 879 of the family's 1533-position model. The record is from RNAcentral. Lineage: Eukaryota; Metazoa; Chordata; Aves; Dinornithiformes; Emeidae.
UACUCAGCAGUAAUUAACAUUAAGCAAUAAGUGAAAACUUGACUUAGCUAUAGCGACCCCCAGGGCCGGUAAAUCUUGUGCCAGCCACCGCGGUCAUACAAGAGGCCCAAACUAAUAGUAAUCGGCGUAAAGUGUGGUAAUAUGUUAUCUAACUAACUAAGACCAAAAUACAACUAAGCUGUCAUAAGCUCAAGAUGCCCCUAAAACCUCCAUAAAUAUGAUCUUAGCAUUCACGACCAAUUUCAACCCACGAAAGCUAAGGCACAAACUGGGAUUAGAUACCCCACUAUGCUUAGCCCUAAAUCCAGAUACUUACCCUACACAAGUAUCCGCCCGAGAA